Long non-coding RNA from Tyto alba (common barn owl), 1221 nucleotides. RefSeq lists it as uncharacterized. NCBI's taxonomy places the organism in Eukaryota, Metazoa, Chordata, Aves, Strigiformes, Tytonidae. The record is from RefSeq and is a predicted model, not a curated record. The transcript has 2 exons.
CGGCACAAGGAAGUCCCGGAGAGUGGGAAGGGGAAAACGGAAAGUUUUGGGGCGGAAUGGCGGUCAGGAGCCUACGUGUUUGCUGUCACUGAGAGCUCUUUGCGGAAGAACGUGAUGUCACCCACGGCAGCACAACAAAGAUCGCUGGCUACGCGGGUCCGUGGAUGUGUGGAAAGGAGAACUCCCGAAACACGGCGGGGACACGUUCCCCGGGCUAAAGCGAUUCAUCGUCGUGUUGGGAGCUUGGAGAUGGCAGCACGAGGCCGUCAGCGCUCAGACAGGCCUACAGGCAGUUGCCUCACGUUCUAAAUAAGCUCCCAUUCGACUUUUUUUUUUUUUUUUUUUUUUCCAAAAGUAAAACCUGCGUUAGGUUUUUAUUGGUUAAAAACGUAAACGGACGAAGCCCCCUCCAGAUCUAUAGUGAGAUGGCGUUGAAUUUUCCAUUUGCGUGCUCUUCGUUUGUUUGCGCUUCUUUUUCAAAGUCCUGCUGGCUCGCGAGUGAGGGAAGCUCCUCAGGACAGGGUCCCAAGGCAGGACUUGCGCAGCCUUUGAGGCCUGGCCGCCCAGCUCCCGCUCCCCCCGCGGAGCCGGGGUUAGGCCCGGUCCUUGCAGCUCGGCCUGGCCUAGGCCGGCUCAGCACCGCCGGGCGCUCAGAACACAUGAGAAAGAUUUGAGUUUUUUUUUUCAAUUAAUAUUAAACAAACAAACAAACAAACAACACAACUACAAAGUGAUUGUAGAGUAGAAGAUAGAAGAGUGAAUCGCUGCUCUGGCCGCUACAGUAAUUUUCACCUUUGUGUAACAGAAGACCCCAAAGCAACCGUGUAUAAAAGAAAUCCCCGGGUUUUUAAGAGUCUUAUUUUUUCUGUUUCAUAACCCGUGAUGCAGGGACGGUGAUCAGCGGCAGCGCUGCAGGCCUGCAGCUCCAAACGAGGGAAGCCAGAGCUGUGGUUUCUUACCCUCAUUAAAAUGGAAACCCAAACCUGAAACAAUCAAAGUCAAGGGCUAGCAGAGUUGGCCUACUGUGGAGAUAAUGGGAUCACAAGACAAAAUAUUUUGCAUCUUAAAAGAUGAAAGCUAUUGUUAUUUUUCUAGUGCUUCAUCAUUGUGUAUUGUGUUGAUAACUGUUUCUAUGUUUCCCCCACACACCAUGUUCUUCUGUUCUCUGACCAUGCAGAUAAAAGUCAGUUCUCUUGAAUAAAUGAAUCAUUGAAAAAUAAA